CAGUCGCCGCGGGAAUACGUAGGUGGCAAGCGUUGUCCGGAAUUAUUGGGCAUAAAGCGCGCGCAGGUGGUUUAAUAAGUCUGAUGUGAAAGCCCACGGCUCAACCGUGGAGGGUCAUUGGAAACUGUUAAACUUGAGUGCAGGAGAGAAAAGUGGAAUUCCUAGUGUAGCGGUGAAAUGCGUAGAGAUUAGGAGGAACACCAGUGGCGAAGGCGGCUUUUUGGCCUGUAACUGACACUGAGGCGCGAAAGCGUGGGGAGCAAACAGGAUUAGAUACCCCCGUAGUCCCUGUCUCUUAUAA
RNAcentral lists this ribosomal RNA (301 nucleotides) under uncultured bacterium. Its description in RNAcentral is "partial 16S ribosomal RNA". It matches the Rfam family "Bacterial small subunit ribosomal RNA", at positions 509 to 809 of the family's 1533-position model. The record is from RNAcentral.